GGGAUCCCGUGUCCGACACCUGGCACCAUCUCGCCGGUCUAAUAAUGGGGCAGCUGUGGGGUCUCACCAUGGUGACGCUGGGGCUCCAUUCCAUGCCGUGGGGGCAGCUUGUGGGGCAGCAGCAGGAAGGAGCUGAGGUAUGAGUUGGCGAGUACGGGCACCGGGGGGAGGCCGGAGGAGAAGAAAUCUGAACCUGGGACGGGAACUGCAUGAAUGGGGGGGGGAAGUAUGAAUGAAAUGGGUCGGCUAGAGUUCAUUGGACUGGGGAGGAACAAUGGGGUGGUAUGGGGGGAUAUGGGGUGGUUAUGGGGCAGCUAUGGGGUGGUUAUGGGAUUGUUAUGGGGUCACUAUGGGGCAGUUAUGGGGCAGUUAUGGGGCAGUUAUAGGGCAGUUAUGGGGCAGUUAUGGGGUUGAUCACCUGGUAAUGGUGCCUCAGUGUUGAGUUGUGGGUCUGGCCGGGGGUGAAGCUGAGAUAUGGGGUGGAGUCCUCCAGCCUAGGGGGGGAGAAAUGGGGGUCCUUAUAGGGUCCCCAUGGGGGUCCCCUAUAGGGUCACUGUGGGUCCCUAUGGGGUCGUUAUGGGUCUCUAUGGGGUCACUAUGGGUCUCUAUGUGUCCCUAUGGGGUCCCUAUGGGUCCCUAUGGGUCCCUGUGUGUCCCUCUGGGGUCCCUAUGGGUCCCUAUGGGUCCCUAUGGGUCCCUAUGUGUUUCUAUGUGUCCCUAUGGGUCCCUAUGUGUCCCUAUGGGUCCCUAUGUGUCUCUAUAGGUCCCUAAAUGUCCCCAUGGGUCCCUAUGUGUCCCUAUGGGGUCACUAUGUCUCUCUUUGUCUCUCUAUGUGUCCCUAUGGGUCCCUAUGAGUCUCUAUGGAGUCUCUAUGGGGUCACUAUGGGUCUCUAUGGGUCCCUAUGUGUCCCUAUGUGUCCCUAUAUGUUCCUAUGGGGUCACUAUGUAUCUCUAUGUGUCCCUAUGUCUCUCUAUGGGGUCUCUAUGGGUCUCUAUGGGUCUCUACGGGGUCUCUAUGGGUCUCUAUGGGGUCUCUAUGGGUCUCUAUGGGGUCUCUAUGGGCCUCUAUGGGUCUCUAUGGGUCUCUAUGGGUCUCUAUGGGUCCCUAUGGGGUCCCUAUGAGUCUCUAUGGAGUCUCUAUGGGGUCACUAUGGGUCUCUGUGGGUCCCUAUGUGUCCCUAUGUGUCCCUAUGGGGUCCCUAUGUGUCCCUAUAUGUCCCUAUAGGGUCUCUAUGUAUCUCUAUGGGUCCCUAUGUGUCCCUAUGUGUCCCUAUGGGGUCCCUAUGUGUUCCUAUGGGGUCUCUAUGUAUCCCUAUGUAUCUGUAUAUGUCCCUAUGUGUCCGUAUGUAUCUCUAUGGGGUCUCUAUGGGGUCUGUAUGGGGUCCCUAUAUUUCCCUAUGUCCCCCUAUGGGGUCCCUAUGGGGUCACUAUGUGUCUCUAUAUGUCCUUAUGUGUCCCUAUGUUUCCCUAUGUAUCUCUAUGUGUCCCUAUGUGUCCCUAUGGGUCUCUAUGUAUCCCUAUGGGGUCCCUAUAUGUCCCUAUGUGUCUCUAUAUGUCCCUAUGUGUCCCUAUGUGUCCCUAUGGAUCUCUAUGGGGUCCCUAUGUAUCUCUAUGUGUCCCCAUGUCCCCCUAUGGGGUCUCUAUGGGGUCCCUAUGUAUCUCUAUGGGGUUCCUAUGUGUCCCUAUGUGUCCCUAUGGGGUUCCUAUGUAUCUCUAUGUGUCCCUAUAUGUCCCUAUGUGUUCCUAUGGGGUCUCUAUGUAUCUCUAUGAGUCCCCAUGUGUCCCUAUGUAUCUCUAUGUGUCCCUAUGGGGUCUCUAUGAGGUCUCUAUAUGUCUCUAUGUUUCCCUAUGUGUCUCUAUGGGUCUCUAUGUGUCCCUAUAUCUCCCUAUGGGGUCCCUAUGUAUCUCUAUGUCCCCCUAUGGGGUCUCUAUGGGGUCUCUAUGUGUCUCUAUGUCUCCCUAUGUCCCCCUAUGUGUCCCUAUGUGAUCUCAAUGUGUCCCUAUGUGUCCCUAUGUAUCUCUAUGUGUCCCUAUGGGGUCUCUAUGUGUCCCUAUAUCUCCCUAUGGGGUCCCUAUGGGGUCUCUAUGUAUCUCUAUGUGUCCCUAUAUGUCCCUAUAUGUCCCUAUGGGUCUCUAUGGAUCCCUAUAUGUCCCUAUGUGUCCCUAUGGGUCCCUAUGUCUCUCUAUGGUCCCUAUGUGUCCCUAUGUCCCCCUAUGGGGUCUCUAAGGGGUCUCUAUGGGUCCCUAUGUAUCUCUAUGGAGUUCCUAUGUGUCCCUAUGUGUCUCUAUGGGGUCACUAUGUAUCUCUAUGUGUCCCUAUAGAUCCCUAUAUGUCCCUAUGUAUCUCUUUGUGUCCCUAUGUGUCCGUCUGUGUCCCUGUAUCUCCCAAUGGGGUCCCUAUGUGUCCCUAUGGGGUCCCUUGUCUCUAUGGGGUCUCUAUGUAUCUCUAUGUCCCCCUAUGCCCCCCUAUGGGGUCUCUAUGGGGUCCCUAUAGAUCCCUAUGUCCCCCCAUGUCCCCCUAUGUCCCUCUAUGUCUGUGCUCACCACGUGACCGCGGCUCCCACCCGGUACCGCACGGGGGCGCUCCAGAGCAGCGAGUUGUCGGACACCGUGAGACGGGAUUCAGUGGGGCUGGAACGGGGAGAAACGGGGGUUACGGCCCCAUAGGGACACAUAGGGACACAUAGAGACACAUAGAGACACAUAGGGACCCAUAGAGACACAUAGGGACACAUAGGGACCCAUAGAGACACAUAGAGACCCAUAGAGACACAUAGGGACCCAUAGGGACACAUAGGGACCCAUAGAGACCCAUAGAGACACAUAGAGACCCAUAGGGACACAUAGGGACCCAUAGGGACACAUAGGGACACAUAGAGACACAUAGAGACACAUAGGGACACAUAGGGACACAUAGGGACCCCAUAACCACCCCAUAUCCCCCAUAACCUCCCAUAUGACCCCAUAUCCCCCCAUAACCACCCCACA
RNAcentral lists this long non-coding RNA (2988 nucleotides) under Coturnix japonica (Japanese quail). RNAcentral's name for it is "lncRNA (ENSCJPG00005005937.1)". The record is from RNAcentral. Lineage: Eukaryota; Metazoa; Chordata; Aves; Galliformes; Phasianidae.